AUGUUCACUCUGCUGGUCUCCUGUCACGUUUGGUUCCUGCUCUCAGGUCUGAUCGGCUGCACGGAAAACUCCACAGCGAUCUGGUUUUCAGUCCCUGAGAAUCACCACGUCUGUCUGCCCUGCGGCAGCUCUGGCAGCUCCGACGUGAUCUGGACUCUGCAGGAUCAGGAGGUCCUGGUGACCCGACGAGGCAGCUACAAGACCAACAAGGACCGCCAGCGCUACCUCCUCAUGGUUAAUGGCAGCCUCUGCAUCCUGCAUCUGGAGGAGUCGGAUCAUGGAGGAUACCGCUGUAACCAGCAGCUGGUGGCUGAGCUGCAGGUGCUGACAGGUCGGAACUACACGGUGUCCGCAGGCCGGACGCUGCUGCUCCCCUGCAGCGGCUCCUCCAAACCCAAACAGAGGUGGUUCCAGCAGAGGGAGGGCGAGAGGCGGGAGGCCGUCCUCACCAAGUACAGAAACGGUACGGUGAAACCAGAGAGGGGCGGCGGCCGGCUGAGCUUCACCAACGACGCCCUGCAGAUCCAGGACCUGCAGCCAGAGGACGCUGGAGAGUACGUCUGCAACGGGGUGCUGCAGGCCAGAGUCACGGUCCUCACAGCACACGCAGAGACGAGCAGCCAGCCUCCGUCCACCAGCACAACUCCAUCACCUGCAGUCGUGACAGCAGAAGUGGAAGAAAUAAAGAAGAAGAGCAACACGAGACCUGAGAACGUUCUGCUGCUGGUUGCUGUCGUCAGUGUGGGCUUGAUGAUCAUCUUCUUAGCUGCUGUCUGUGUGUUGCUGACCAGCAUGAAGUGCAGGAGGAAGAAACGCAGAGCUGCAGCAGCACCGACACGUGACGACACGGAGCUGCAGCCGUGGACGACGUCCAGCGCACCGACAGAGGGUGAGGACUUAGAGACCCCGCCCCUCUGUGGGGAGACGAUCCACUACGCCUCUCUGGGCCGACAGAACUGGAGGGAGAGACCCAGCAGGAGUCCGCCGGAGCAGAGCCACCACAGCGUCAUCUACUCCUCCGUCAUCAGCAGACCUGCAGCGAGAGCUGAGCACAAACUCUGAAAGCUAAAGUCUGAAUGUACAGUCGUGUGACGGGAAGCUUUAAAAUCACAUCCCUGUGUGAAAGUGCAGCUUAGUUUCACUUUGGCCAAAAUACACCUGUAACACAAGCUGUUAAACUCCUGUCAGUCAGUUUGGUUUUCAUGUUUCACUUUCACUGUCUGCUUCAGGCAGCAGAGCUGGUUUCACAGAGACUUUACAUGUUACACCGAGGAGUCGUUUACACAUGUGGAGCGUCACAUCUGGACAGGCUGCCGUCUUUAUAAACAGAGGUCAGGACAGAUCGUGGUGUCAGAAUCAGUUUAUUAGUAAAAGACAAGCAAAGUGUGGAAUCUGUUCAUGGAAGCAGAGGAACUCACACAGACUCAGAGCAGCACAGCAGACAGAUGUUUAAACACAGCAAGAAAACAAACUCACAGACAUGAAGAUUAAAAACUGACCCGAGGAAACUAUUCACACAUUUAUGGGUAAAAAUAGAUUUUCUUUAGUUCAGUAAUUAUUUUUUGAAAGUCUCCCUGCUGUGGCAGCAUUUACAUUUAUGGCUGUUACUUUAUUAUUAACAGGAAUGUUUUACAAACAUUUUAUUUUCAUUGCAACUUUCUGGAUAUUUAACAUUUAAAGGUUCUUAAACUCUCUGUUUUUCUGCUCACUGAAAAAUAAAUCUUCACUGUUUACACAAAAAACAGAAAAAAAUAAACUAAAAUCUAGAUUUUUAAAUCUACUAAUCAAAUAUUUUCACAGUUUUAUUAAUUAAAAAAAAUCAUUUACGCUCAUUUAAAGUGCUUCUAUCUGUGGUGAUGUGAUGCCUUUGAGUUCUUGCACGUGUUCACUGUUGAGUACAGGACCUUCUCUUCAGCCAAUCCGGUUCCUCUCCUGGUGGUGGGGCGGGGCUUGUCUGGAUGCUUCAGGCUGGAAUAAUGCAAAGACUCUUCCUGCAGAGAUACAAAGAGUAAAAAAUCUGAUUAAACUGCAGGUUUGCUGCCAAACUAACAUGAUGCUGUGAGGUCACUGCAUUUGGCUUCCCUGCACUUCGUCGUGCUCAGCACAGACCCGUGAAUCCUCUUCAGUUCAGCCUGUGCUGAAUAAAAAAGCUGCCAAAUAUUUAUGUACAUGUUUCAGUGAAAUCACCUUUUCCUAUUUUACUGGCAAAACAUAAAGAAAUGAGGGUUGGCUCAAGACUUUUGCACAGUGCUGCAUGUGGAGCUUGUUUUUAGACUGCAGUAAUAAAACAGAAUAAAUGUUUGAAACUCACAGACUGAGAGAUUCACUCAUUUUAAUUAUUUGCUCGUAAAGUAGGAAAUAUGAUUUUUAAAGACUGUUCGUGACCUUCCACUGACCUCUGUGACCCGGUGAUCGGCGUCCCGUCUCCGUGGGUUACAGCAGGAGCAAACAGGUUUACCUGCAGAAGAAACGAGACAUGGGACAGGUGAGGAAGACGAAGCUGACUCAGAGCGGGCGAUGUGACCGUGAGGACGUCAGAACAUCUGAUCGGCCCUGAUGUACGCCUACAUCAGAGCUCAGCACAGGCAGCAGCAUAAUUAACUCAUUAUUGAAUCAAUGAAGGGAUUUUAUCCUGUUCCACUUGUGUCACACAUGACCAGCUCCUGUAUUUUGAUUGGCUCCGGUUUAUCAAAUCGAACCAUGUGACUCCCUACUGACACCUACAGGUGACCCGCAGAGGUGACAGAGUUACAUGCGGGACUUCAUCCUCCAGCAUGACCCCCACCGUCAGCCUGUACUGUGCCAAAAUAAGACUCAACACAAGGGGGCGCUGUAGCUGCCUCCACAGCAAACAAUGACUUUUUGUCAUGAUAACGGAGAUAGAGAUAACUCUUUAUUACUGUGACAAUACAACAACUCAUGAUGAUGAGUUUCAGUGUACACCCCCUCCAUCCUAAAACGAAAAAGGUGUGUUUGCCUUCUGUGAAACUGUAUGUUAAGCCCCGCCCCCGGCGUGUGUAAGUGAAAGCGAAAGUUUGGGGAGCUGUCCGAGGGGCAGACGUCGAGCUUCUCUUCCGUCUCUGCUCGUUUUUCAGCUCGGUUCCGACCUUUGUGUCCUCAGAGGGGGGCAGAUAUUUGUCCUGUGAAGCCGGAGGACCCCGCCUGCUGUCCCGCCGUCCUCUCAGCAGCAGCAUGCCGGACGUCAGGCUGUGCCUGGAGGCCGUCUCUGCGCUCCUGGGCUGCAGAGCCGAAGCGACCACCGGAAGCUCCCAGUUCACCCCGCAGGAUCUGGUCAACGUCGUGGCCCUCAAAGAGUUUUACAAGCAGGAGGGCUUUAAAGAGCUGGAGUACCCCAGCUUGGGGACGCUGUCUCUGCACGAGUUAGACGAAGCCGACAUGUACAGCUCCCCCCCGGCCCUGGAGGCGCCUCCGGAGAGAUCCCAGCUCACUGUGGAAAUCAACACGGAGAACUUCUUCCAUCCUCAGUACGACUACGACUUCACCAACGUCAAGGUGAGCGGCACGGGCCUCUCGGGUCACGUGACCCAGCGGGUUUCUCACACAGCUGCACGAUGAUCUUUAACUGCACGGUGACUUUUAUUCAGCACAGAUCUGGGUUUGCUGUUAAACACGGAGGUGACACAGAGGGAGGGCCACACUCAGCGUGGAAAAACAAACCCAUAAAAAUAAAAUACCUGAGCUUUAAACAAAGGCAGGAAGGUCAAAGGUCGAGUUCAAAGGGCCAGACUCACACGUUCUCUGUGAGUGUCAUUUUAAACACGGCGCUGGAAUAAACUCCGACAGUCUGAUCAACUUUAUGAUCGAUGGUCAAGUUUUAGAGGGAAACAAAUGAAAGCAGCUCAAAGUGAAACUCAGCCCUGAUUCCUGAGCAGCUCCAGACUUUCUGGAAAUGCUGCUGCGCUGAAACUGAAAGUGUGUGUGUGUG
Molecule: long non-coding RNA, 3946 nt
Filed under: Oreochromis niloticus (Nile tilapia)
Lineage: Eukaryota; Metazoa; Chordata; Actinopteri; Cichliformes; Cichlidae
Description: lncRNA (ENSONIG00000041371.1)
Source: RNAcentral